RNAcentral lists this long non-coding RNA (581 nucleotides) under Homo sapiens (human). Its description in RNAcentral is "testicular germ cell expressed HSF2 interacting lncRNA". Lineage: Eukaryota; Metazoa; Chordata; Mammalia; Primates; Hominidae. The record is from RNAcentral.
GCUGCCACCUCUCUUGACUCCCUUGUGAGGAGAUCGGCUCUUGCUCCUCCUCAUGCCAUGACUCUUUAAUUUGCGGCUGGUCGACAUGCCAUUGUGACAAGGCACCAUCAAUCAUCAUGUCCCUUUACCAGGAGGGCCCGUGUCAUAAGCCACUAUAUAAAGGGAAUGAUGGGUGGACUGCUUUGGACAAAUGGACCUGCGGUAGGAGAGAGGGACAACAGUAGGAGCAGGCAGAUCUUGCUGUUUCAACCAAAACCUCAUGCUGACCAGAGUUGAGGAACAGAAGAAGAUGGUGAAGGCCUGCAGGUAUAGGUGUUCAGCAUGUCAUCUGAAAUAUUCCCCACAGAGGCAAAAAGAAAGGAAAUUAUCUCUGAAAAGGAAUGGGAGGACAAGUCAGCAGAAUAUGUCAAUGUUUUGGUUGAAGAAGCUGCUUGAAUCUGGGCUUUUCUGUGCCAUGUGUUCUCCCAGGGCCAGCACAAAGAAGGGCUUUUGGUGCAGGCCCAAGACCACCAUAAUCAUCAUUGAUUAUUCCUCUCCACGCCAGUGUCUCUAAAUAAACUUUCUCUUCUUUCUCUGACAAA